GGGCAGGGCCCGGCCAGGGGCCAGCCUGGGCACAGAGGUGGCGGCUCUGUCCCCCAGCUCUGGGCAACCCCGGGCCAGCCCUGCUGGAACCCUUUCUUCAGCUCCCUGGAGGCAGUGGGCCUGCCCCAAGCCUGCUCUGUAAACUCAUUUUGCGUAGGCCCCCUCCUGCGAAGUGUGAGCGCAUCUGCACCUCUGGCGAGAGCGUUCAAGGAGCAGACAUGUGUCCCUCCGCCGUCCUCCAGCCACGGAAUCCACAGCCCUGACCUGGAGCCCGGACCGCCUGCCCCCAAGUCCAGGCUGUGCCUUUGGACAUGUCGUCUGGCCUCAUCUGUCUACUGCACGUGCAGUAGACAGGCCCUCCCUCGGAGUGGUAGUCCCGGGAAGGAUUUUUAUCAUAUUAUUACCGCAAGUCAACUGCGCUCCCGGUCCAGGGCUCCGUCACAGCAGUGCACGAUGGGAAAACCAGGGAUGAAGGUGGCCGGGGCGGGGAGGGGGUGAAGGGUCCCGCCCCGGCCUCACUGCCUCCCCAACUCUGAGGGGAGGAGGCGAGGACCCAGCGGCUUCCCGCCCAGCCAAUGCAGGGCCCCUUGUGGGAGUCAUCUUAGGUCCUCUGGUACCAUCUGGUGGUGAAUUCUGGUGUUACACCCCUUGUGAAGCCCUUGGCCAAAGCCGGGCCCGGGGGUUUGGGGAGGCCUUGGGAGAGAAGGGGUCCAGGCAUUUACCCACUGUGUCCGUUGGCUGAAAAGUCUUAGUCAUCAGUGACUGCAGGGUGCCAGAGCCUGGGACACACAGCUGCAGUGAGCUAUUCUCGUCCUCCAUUUCCUCUUCCUCCUCUUCCUCCUCCUCCUCCUCCUGGAGCAGGGCUUCCUUGGAGGGGAAACAGGGCAUGCAGGUCCCUAAGCAGGUGAUGAGGGCCAGGACCCCCAGCUGCAGCCCCUGGCUCACCCUCCCCAGGUAAACAGGAAGCAGAAGGGGAGGGCUUCGUAAAGGUCAGGAAAGGGGACUACUGCCCACCCCACCCCCACCCCCAUCCAAGUCACAGACCCCAGGACCUGCAGCCACCACCUCCCCCGCCCCUUCCCCACCCCUCCCCCACCCCGGCCGCAGACCUUGACCAGGGCUGAUUUCUGAAGCUGCUUGUACAAACUGAGGAGGUGGUUCCAGGGGGUCAGCCCCGCCUUGGAAGAGGCCAAGCUGGGGUCUCCUGUGGAUAGGGUAGAAGGUCACCGGCAGGGGCACAGCACCUCAGUCAAUCCUUGCAACUACCCUGCCGGACAGGACAGGUGCGACACUCUCACCGCCGUGAGGACGCAAGGGGCCGCUGUCACAUCCCUGGGGGGGGGGGGGGGGGGGGGAUAAGAUGGGUGUGUGCCCAAUAUCCCCACAACCCUUGACCUCAAAGACCUGGAGAAACAGGAGCCGGCCCAGGGGCCUGGGG
This 1438-nucleotide long non-coding RNA is filed under the name Oryctolagus cuniculus (rabbit). Its description in RNAcentral is "lncRNA (ENSOCUG00000034859.1)". Lineage: Eukaryota; Metazoa; Chordata; Mammalia; Lagomorpha; Leporidae. The record is from RNAcentral.